This 554-nucleotide ribosomal RNA is filed under the name uncultured beta proteobacterium. Its description in RNAcentral is "bacterial SSU rRNA". It matches the Rfam family "Bacterial small subunit ribosomal RNA", at positions 38 to 585 of the family's 1533-position model. Lineage: Bacteria; Pseudomonadati; Pseudomonadota; Betaproteobacteria. The record is from RNAcentral.
GGCGGAAUGCUUUACACAUGCAAGUCGAGCGGCAGCGCGGGGCAACCUGGCGGCGAGCGGCGAACGGGUGAGUAAUGCAUCGGAACAUGUCCAUUCGUGGGGGAUAGCCCGGCGAAAGCCGGAUUAAUACCGCAUACGCCCUGAGGGGGAAAGCGGGGGACUUCGCAAGAGGCCUCGCGCGAAUGGGUUGGCCGAUGUCCGAUUAGCUAGUUGGUGGGGUAAAGGCUUACCAAGGCGAUGAUCGGUAGCUGGUCUGAGAGGAUGAUCAGCCACACUGGGACUGAGACACGGCCCAGACUCCUACGGGAGGCAGCAGUGGGGAAUUUUGGACAAUGGGGGAAACCCUGAUCCAGCCAUUCCGCGUGAGUGAAGAAGGCCUUCGGGUUGUAAAGCUCUUUUGUCCGGAGCGAAACGGUUAGCGUGAAUAUCGCUGACUACUGACGGUACCGGAAGAAUAAGCACCGGCUAACUACGUGCCAGCAGCCGCGGUAAUACGUANGGUGCGAGCGUUAAUCGGAAUUACUGGGCGUAAAGCGUGCGCAGGCGGUUUUGUA